ACUGAACGCUGGCGGCAUGCCUUACACAUGCAAGUCGAACGGCAGCACGGGAGCAAUCCUGGUGGCGAGUGGCGAACGGGUGAGUAAAGUAUCGGAACGUGCCCAGUCGUGGGGGAUAACGUAGCGAAAGUUACGCUAAUACCGCAUACGAUCUAUGGAUGAAAGCGGGGGAUCGCAAGACCUCGCGCGAUUGGAGCGGCCGAUAUCAGAUGAGGUAGUUGGUGGGGUAAAGGCUCACCAAGCCGACGAUCUGUAGCUGGUCUGAGAGGACGACCAGCCACACUGGGACUGAGACACGGCCCAGACUCCUACGGGAGGCAGCAGUGGGGAAUUUUGGACAAUGGGCGAAAGCCUGAUCCAGCCAUGCCGCGUGCAGGAUGAAGGCCUUCGGGUUGUAAACUGCUUUUGUACGGAACGAAAAGGUUUGGCCUAAUAAGCUGAGCUCAUGACGGUACCGUAAGAAUAAGCACCGGCUAACUACGUGCCAGCCGCCGCAGUAA
RNAcentral lists this ribosomal RNA (500 nucleotides) under uncultured bacterium. RNAcentral describes it as "partial 16S ribosomal RNA". It matches the Rfam family "Bacterial small subunit ribosomal RNA", at positions 30 to 523 of the family's 1533-position model. The record is from RNAcentral.